This 567-nucleotide unclassified non-coding RNA is filed under the name Hevea brasiliensis (rubber tree). Lineage: Eukaryota; Viridiplantae; Streptophyta; Magnoliopsida; Malpighiales; Euphorbiaceae. The record is from RNAcentral.
AGCAAAGAAUAAAGGUAUUAAUUUAUCCCAAUAUUCAAUUUUUCAGAAUUGAGGUUGAAGUGCUGAAGAUAUAUCUGAAAUAUGAUGAGGCAAGCAACAUAGGAAUGUAAUAAGCUCUCUUUUUUUCUCCAUUUUCUAUUUAAUAAUUCAUAAGAACAGAAAGUAGGAUUUCUCCUUUACAAUUGGAGCCGAAGCCCACAAGCAGUAAUUCAACAAAUAUGUGAUGUCACAAAAUUCAUAUGUGAUGUCACAAAAUUCCCUUCUAUACAUUUAUACGUUUAUAAAGGCACCAACUAAGACAUUAUAAUGAUCACAAAAUGGAAUCAUAAUAAUACUGGAUACCAGACAACUACCAAAUAAGAAGUAGACUACAAAUGAUGAGUUGAACAGAGUCACUAAAUUGAAUACGCUUACUCUCAUGAACUACAUUAUGGAUAAUAUACAGCUCUUACACAACCACCAGCUAUGAAACGUUAAACAGCUUAUAUGACGAUCAAACUUACGAGGUAACCUUAUGAUGACUGCAACAAUUAAGAAGUAAGAAAACCAGAGAGAGAGAGAGAGAGA